Long non-coding RNA from Xiphophorus hellerii (green swordtail), 1126 nucleotides. RefSeq lists it as uncharacterized. NCBI's taxonomy places the organism in Eukaryota, Metazoa, Chordata, Actinopteri, Cyprinodontiformes, Poeciliidae. The transcript has 2 exons. The record is from RefSeq and is a predicted model, not a curated record.
AAGAAAUCUUGUCUUCGUCGUUGUGAGGUGUACUUGUCUUGUGGGGCCAACCUAAUACAAGUUAUAACAGCCAAACUUCCUGUUUAAAAAGAUGCUGAAGUUUGUCACCUAAUGCAUAUGAGAACAAUUUUAUCCUAAGGACACAUGGUGGGGGGGACAAAUGUGGCUAAUCAAGACAUGCUACGUUGUGGAGGAUGAUAAUGAGGACCAGGUACCAGAGGAAGAAGUCUCUGUUUGACCAAAGAGAAAGAAGCAGAUGAAAUAUUCCCCAAUAAAAUUAUUUAAGUCAUUUUUGUGUUACUAUUUUCUCCAGGUGAAGGAGGAUGAAAGGGAAAGGUAAGUGGGGAAUAAGGAGAGCAAUACGGUAAUCAACAUUCACCGGCUGAGUUAUUAAGUUACGUUUAGACAACUAUUGUUGUCAAAUGUAAAACUGGUGUUUAAUCUAAUUAUUUAUUAAUAAACCUCUUGAAAACAUCGACAAGCCAGAGUAUCUGGUUGGAAAUAAUUUUGAAUGCUCAUUAAGUGAAAAGAUACACUCAUGUGCCUAAAACUAUACAUUAAAUGAUGCAUUUUGAACAACAGUGGCAGUCUGUAUGAACUUCUGCCAAACUUGAUCAGAAUAAUUUUGUUCAGCUCUAGUCAUUAUGCUUCUUGUAUUAAAAAAAUCAUUAUAUUAGACUUUAUAACAACCAGUCAUGUCAACUCAACCUUUGUCUGCCAGUCUACUAUUCUGACAAUGUGCAGCAAGGGAGAUUCUUGGAAUGGUACUUAAAUAAAUGCUGAAUUAAGAUAACAUUGUUUUUUAUUUGUUUUUGUUUCUUUUUUUAAGUGACCACAGUGGAUUGAGUCAUCACCCACUAUGAGAAUGUCCAGAAGAGAUUGACCAAGUUUGAAUUCAUGAAGAGGCUUUCACCAUGAUUAACAUUGACCACAACCAUUGCAAGAACAGCUAUAAUUUCUGAGCAUUUCCGGACACUUUCAAAGAACUGUUUCCAGGAAAGAAGAUCUCCCUGUUUUCAGAGCAUUACAGGAAGGCUAUAACAAAGGAGAUGGCUGACGCAAUCAAAGCAAAAAAAUAAAAAGAUGUUAGGACUGUUGAAAGAACCUUUUUUCAUAAGUUAAAGAA